RNAcentral lists this ribosomal RNA (460 nucleotides) under uncultured bacterium. RNAcentral's name for it is "partial 16S ribosomal RNA". It matches the Rfam family "Bacterial small subunit ribosomal RNA", at positions 28 to 523 of the family's 1533-position model. The record is from RNAcentral.
AACGAACGUUGGCGGCGUGGAUUAGGCAUGCAAGUCGAGGGAACCCAGCAAUGGGGAACCGGCGUAAGGGGCAGUAAGGCGUGGGUACCUACCCCGGGGUUCGGGUUAGCCGUCCGAGAGGGCGGGUAAUACCGGAUGACCUGGUGACAGCAAAGAUUUAUCGCCCUGGGAGGGGCCCACGUGAUAUUAGGUUGUUGGCGGGGUAACGGCCCACCAAGCCUGAGAUGUCUAGCGGGUGUGAGAGCACGACCCGCGCCACUGGCACUGAGACACUGGCCAGACACCGACGGGUGGCUGCAGUCGAGGAUCUUCGGCAAUGGGCGCAAGCCUGACCGAGCGACGCCGCGUGGGCGAUGAAGGCCUUCGGGUUGUAAAGCCCUGUCGGGGGGGAGAAACGGGUAAAACCUUGAUCUAUCCCCGGAGGAAGCACGGGCUAAGUUCGUGCCAGCAGCCGCCGUAA